UGACCCCAGGUCAGGCGGGACUA
This 23-nucleotide ribosomal RNA is filed under the name Noveloa coulteriana. Its description in RNAcentral is "partial 26S ribosomal RNA". The record is from RNAcentral. Lineage: Eukaryota; Viridiplantae; Streptophyta; Magnoliopsida; Malpighiales; Podostemaceae.